RNAcentral lists this ribosomal RNA (427 nucleotides) under uncultured bacterium. Its description in RNAcentral is "partial 16S ribosomal RNA". It matches the Rfam family "Bacterial small subunit ribosomal RNA", at positions 355 to 774 of the family's 1533-position model. The record is from RNAcentral.
UGGGGAAUAUUGCACAAUGGGCGCAAGCCUGAUGCAGCCAUGCCGCGUGUAUGAAGAAGGCCUUCGGGUUGUAAAGUACUUUCAGCGGGGAGGAAGGUGUUGAGGUUAAUAACCUCAGCAAUUGACGUUACCCGCAGAAGAAGCACCGGCUAACUCCGUGCCAGCAGCCGCGGGAACACGGAGGGUGCAAGCGUUAAUCGGAAUUACUGGGCGUAAAGCGCACGCAGGCGGUCUGUCAAGUCGGAUGUGAAAUCCCCGGGCUCAACCUGGGAACUGCAUUCGAAACUGGCAGGCUAGAGUCUUGUAGAGGGGGGUAGAAUUCCAGGUGUAGCGGUGAAAUGCGUAGAGAUCUGGAGGAAUACCGGUGGCGAAGGCGGCCCCCUGGACAAAGACUGACGCUCAGGUGCGAAAGCGUGGGGAGCAAACA